RNAcentral lists this ribosomal RNA (399 nucleotides) under uncultured bacterium. RNAcentral's name for it is "bacterial SSU rRNA". It matches the Rfam family "Bacterial small subunit ribosomal RNA", at positions 356 to 773 of the family's 1533-position model. The record is from RNAcentral.
GGGGAAUAUUGCACAAUGGAGGAAACUCUGAUGCAGCGACGCCGCGUGAACGAUGAAGGCUUUAGGGUCGUAAAGUUCUGUCCUAGGGGACGAUAAUGACGGUACCCUAGGAGGAAGCCCCGGCUAACUACGUGCCAGCAGCCGCGGUAAUACGUAGGGGGCAAGCGUUGUCCGGAUUUAUUGGGCGUAAAGGGUUCGCAGGUGGUCCUUUAAGUCAGAUGUGAAAGAUCACAGCUCAACUGUGGUAAGCAUUUGAAACUGAAGGACUUGAGUUAAGGAGAGGAAAGUGGAAUUCCUAGUGUAGCGGUGAAAUGCGUAGAUAUUAGGAGGAAUACCAGUGGCGAAGGCGACUUUCUGGACUUAUACUGACACUGAGGAACGAAAGCGUGGGGAGCAAAC